Molecule: ribosomal RNA, 736 nt
Filed under: uncultured Comamonadaceae bacterium
Lineage: Bacteria; Pseudomonadati; Pseudomonadota; Betaproteobacteria; Burkholderiales; Comamonadaceae
Description: bacterial SSU rRNA
Rfam family: Bacterial small subunit ribosomal RNA
Source: RNAcentral
GCUGGCGGUAUGCUUUACACAUGCAAGUCGAACGGCAGCAUAGGUGCUUGCACCUGAUGGCGAGUGGCGAACGGGUGAGUAAUGCAUCGGAACGUGCCCAGUCGUGGGGGAUAACGCAGCGAAAGCUGUGCUAAUACCGCAUACGAUCUAUGGAUGAAAGCGGGGGACCUUCGGGCCUCGCGCGAUUGGAGCGGCCGAUGUUAGAUUAGGUAGUUGGUGGGGUAAAGGCUCACCAAGCCGACGAUCUAUAGCUGGUCUGAGAGGACGACCAGCCACACUGGAACUGAGACACGGUCCAGACUCCUACGGGAGGCAGCAGUGGGGAAUUUUGGACAAUGGGCGAAAGCCUGAUCCAGCAAUACCGCGUGCAGGAAGAAGGCCCUCGGGUUGUAAACUGCUUUUGUACGGAACGAAACGGCGCGCUCUAAUAAGGUGCGCUAAUGACGGUACCGUAAGAAUAAGCACCGGCUAACUACGUGCCAGCAGCCGCGGUAAUACGUAGGGUGCAAGCGUUAAUCGGAAUUACUGGGCGUAAAGCGUGCGCAGGCGGUUUUGUAAGACAGGCGUGAAAUCCCCGGGCUUAACCUGGGAAUUGCGCUUGUGACUGCAAGGCUAGAGUACGGUAGAGGGGGGUAGAAUUCCGCGUGUAGCAGUGAAAUGCGUAGAUAUGCGGAGGAACACCGAUGGCGAAGGCAGCCCCCUGGACCUGUACUGACGCUCAUGCACGAAAGCGUGG